RNAcentral lists this ribosomal RNA (443 nucleotides) under uncultured bacterium. RNAcentral's name for it is "partial 16S ribosomal RNA". It matches the Rfam family "Bacterial small subunit ribosomal RNA", at positions 338 to 795 of the family's 1533-position model. The record is from RNAcentral.
CCUACGGGAGGCAGCAGUGGGGAAUAUUGGGCAAUGGGCGCAAGCCUGACCCAGCAACGCCGCGUGAAGGAAGAAGGCUUUCGGGUUGUAAACUUCUUUUAUCCGGGACGAAGCAAGUGAUGGUACCUGCUGAAUAAGCCACGGGUAACUACGUGCCAGCAGCCGCGGGAAUACGUAGGUGGCAAGCGUUAUCCGGAUUUACUGGGUGUAAAGGGCGUGUAGGCGGGAGUGCAAGUCAGAUGUGAAAACUAUGGGCUCAACCCAUAGCCUGCAUUUGAAACUGUACUGCUUGAGUGCUGGGGAGGCAAUCGGAAUUCCGUGUGUAGCGGUGAAAUGCGUAGAUAUACGGAGGAACACCAGUGGCGAAGGCGGAUUGCUGGACAGUAACUGACGCUGAGGCGCGAAAGCGUGGGGAGCAAACAGGAUUAGAUACCCUUGUAGUC